Molecule: long non-coding RNA, 4190 nt
Filed under: Canis lupus familiaris (dog)
Lineage: Eukaryota; Metazoa; Chordata; Mammalia; Carnivora; Canidae
Description: lncRNA (ENSCAFG00040011935.1)
Source: RNAcentral
UUCUCAUCUACUGCUCUGGAGGGGAGGAGGGAAGACUUCCUUAUGGGUAAGUUAAGGAAGAGGGAAGUAGGCAUACUCAGCUCACUUCACCCUUUUUCUUUUCCAGGUAGCCUGCCUACAGAGAACAAGGGUUCGUUUUAUUUCCUGCCUGCUCCCAGAGAGGAGGUUAUGGUGUUCCAGAAUGUUCUGUGUCUGGAUGAGGAUGCCUGCCUUAAUUCUGGCUCAGUAUUGACCCCAGAAAAUAUGUUUUACUAACAUUUGCAAGUUUUGCCACACCAGAGGCCAAGAGAAGCCACAGUUUUGACUCCUUUGGCAAAAAACUCCCACCGAGACCCAGGGACCUACUUCAGCUCUCUGGAGGGCUCUCUUCCCCUGAAUUGAAUGUAUUGGCCUCCUGUAUACAACAGCUUGAAAACAUUACAGAUGCACCCAGCCAGGAAGGCGUCCCAAAGACAUGUUCCAGCUUUGGAUGACAGUGACAAAGGAUCCUGAGUGCACCAUGGAGACAACCACCUGCAAAACCUUCCUUCUUAAGUGGGGGUCAAAGUUCAGGCCCUCCUGCAUUAGAAUAGUGGGUCAGAUUUCAAAAUCUGGCAAUUUCACAAAGUUCAGGCACAAAAAAUUCGGGAUGUAUAUUAGCUGUCCAUUGUGAUGUUGUACUGUGAACUCCUUACAAAGGCCUAACUCUAUCUACUUGCAGAGUGGCAGUUUUAUCUAUUGAAGUGGUCCUUAACAGGGGUGAUUGUGUCCUCUUGGGGACAUUUGGCAAUGGCCACAGAUAUUUUUGGUUAUCACAUUUGGGGGUAAAGGUGCUAUUGGCAUUUAAUGGAUAGAGGUCAGGGAUGCUGCCCAACACUGUACAAGGGCAGGACAGCCUCCUACAACAAUGAAUUAUCUGGCUUAAAAUGUCCUCACUGAGGGAUCCCUGGGUGGCUCAGUGGUUUGGCUCCUGCCUUCAGCCCAGAGUAUGAUCCUAGAGACCCAGGAUCAAGUCUCACAUCGGGCUCCCUGCAUGGAGCCUGCUUCUCCCUCUGCCUAUGUCUCUGCCUCUCUCUCUCUCUCUCUCUCUCUCUCUCUGUCUCUCAUGAAUAAAUACAUAAAAUCUUUUAAAAAAAUAAAAAAAAUUGUCCUCACUGAGAGUGUUGAGAAACUCUAACAUAGAAUUAGCCAGACAGACAAGAAGUAGACAAGAUAACUUGAUGGAGUUCAUGCCAGUCAGAAGGCCUAUGGUGAAGUCCUUGUUCAAGAUGUAUCAAUGUGAAUAAGUUGUUGUUGUUUUUAAAUCUGUCUCCCUCAGUUUUCUCAUCUGUAAAAUAGGAGCAGCAAUGCAUGUGUCCCUAGCACAUAGAAAGUUCUCUAUAAAUGUUAUCAUUACAAUUAUUGAUCCAAACAGCCUUUUCCUGUUCUACUUUUAUUGUUUACUGGCAACAAAAAAAUGUAUCAUUUGAUCUCGUGUCAUGUAAGUUUUAGAUACCUUAUCUUAUCAUCUCAUACCAAUUCUUUGAGUUAGAUCUUAGAAAAGGAAAAUGAAGUAAAAAAAUACUAAACCACUUACCCAAAUUUACGGAAUUAAUACAUAACACAGUCAGGGUUUGAAUGUGUUUGCACAUUAAGGAGUGAUCUCUGAUUCAUUCUAUGGGAUAAGUAGACCCCAUAUUUCUUACGUUUCUUUCUACCAGAGACACUUGGACUAGUUUAUAUGUUUCUUUCACUGAUCUGUGGGAUGCUGUGUUCUGUGACAUGCACAUUCCUGUGCUCUGUGCAUCAUGUAUCCUGAAGGAUCACACCAUCCUGAGAGGUGGUGAAGGGCCUAGGCCUUCAUAUCCUGGCUAUUUAUCUUUUGAUCAGAGAUAUAAAUGACAAUGAUGUAAUUGGAUUUACAUAUUUGAAAGGGUGCUCUGGUAGCCUUGAAUGACUAAUUGUACUAAAGGAUAAGUAAGCCUGACUGAGAUAGUUAAAAUGAGAAGAGUGUCAAAGACAAGGGGUACCCAUGCCAGCAAAGGCUAUUAGGUAAGAGGGUGCCACCAAACCUUGUGGAAAUCAUAUGUGAUCUAGCAUGCUUUAGCCGCACAGCUGCCAUUUUAGUUCAUAUUGUAAACAACUGACCUAAGACCUGUGUCCCAUUUUCUUAAAAGACAAAUGCUAAAUCUCCUGCCCCACUGUUAAGAGGAGAAAGAAAACCUGCAAACUAGGAGAAACUCUUUGCAAAUCAUAUAUCUAAUAAAGGACCUAUAUACAAGAUAUUUUCAAAAGAAUUUUUAAAGAUUUUAUUUACCCAUUUUUGAGAGAGAGAGUGAGCACAAACAGGGGGAGGAAGAGAGACGAGUAGACUCUAUGCUAAGUGCAGAGCCCAACUUGGGGCUCAAUCCCCUGACCCCGAGAUCAUGACCUGAGCCAAUAUCAAUAGUCAGACACCGAACCAACUGAGCCACCCAGGCACUGCCUACAUCCAGGAUAUUUAAAAAACUUGUGAAAUUCUACAUUAAAACUAAACCCCCCAAAAUGAGCAGAAAAGUUGAAUGGAAACUUUGCCAGAUAUUCAACUGGAAAUAAGCACCUGUAAAGAUGUUCACCAACAUUAGUUAUUAGAUAAAUGCACAUUUAAAACAGAACACUGCACAUCUACUAGAAUAGAUAAAAUAAAAACACUGACCAUACUAAGUGCUAAUGAGAGUAUGAAAGAACUUGAACUCAUAUGCACUGUUUAUAGGGAUGUAAAAAAUGGUACAAUCACUAUGGAAAACAGUUUGACAGUUUCUUAAAAACUCGAUGUACACCUCCCAUGUGAUCCAGCUAUUCCGUUCCUAGGAAUUUUCCAAAAAGAAAUAAAAGCAUAUGUCCAUACAAAGGCACUUACAUGAAUAUACAUAAGUUUACUUGUAAUAACCUAAACCUGGACGCAAUCCAAACGUCCAUCAAGUGAAUGGGAAAACAAAUUAUGGUAUAUGAUACAAUGGAAUACUGCUCAACAGUAAAAAUGAAUGAAUAUUUACAUAUGCAACAUGGGUAGAUCUCAAAAUAAUUAUGCUAAAAAAGAAGCCAGACAGAGAAAGUUACACACUAUCUAAUUCUAUUUCUAUAACAUUCUAGGAAAUGUCAACUAAUCUGUAGUGACAAAAAGCAGAUCAGUGAUUCCUAGGGAGAAGAAAGAGGGAGGAAUUCUCUAAGGUCAUAAGGAAAUUUUGGGGGGUGAUGGAUAGAUUUCUGAUCUUGGUUGUGGUGAUAAGCUCAUGGGUGCAUGCAUUUGUCAAAGUGUAUCAAAUAGUACACUUGAAAUAUGUGUAGUUUAAUGUGUGCUACUUAUAUCUCAAUAAAGCAAUUAGAAAGAAAUCUGUUCUUGUCCACUAUUAAAUUAUAACUUUAUACACACACAUUUUUAUUUUUAUUUUUUAAUUUUAAUUUUAUUUUUUAUUAUUAUUUUUUAAAGAUUUUAUUUAUUCAUGAGAGACACACAGAGAGAGAGAGAGAGGUGGAGACAUAGGCAGAGGGAGAAGCAGGCUCCAUGCAGGGAGCCUGAUGUGGGACUCGAUCCUGGGACCCCAGGAUCAUGCCUUGAGCCAAAGGCAGGAGCUUAACCACUGAGUAACCCAGGCGUCCCAUACACACACGUUUUUAAUGUGCUAUGUAUCAACAUAUAGAUUACCUAUCUCUGACAUGUAAAAUGAGUCACUUUCUUCCUUUCAAUUUUUUAAAAGAUGAAACUUUUCUGAGUCAAAUUUUUCAUGAGACUUCAGUGUCUCUUGCAAUACUAUUGGCAAAGAUUGUUGAUGUGCAUUUGUUGGAUUUCACUUGACAUCUUGUUGAAAUCUGUUUAUAUCUCAGGACUAACACAAAAUUCAGGCAUUUUAUUAUUUACUUUAAUCAGAUACAAAAAGUCUGGAGAACAAAUCACGGCAUAGCUUCAUGAAGUAGAAACCAACAGCAUGAAACAUCCCUGUGCAGCCACGGGUCAGUGGCUAGGACCCUUACACCUCACAGUGUCUCAAUAGGGUCACAUAUUUGCUAAAGCAAAAGACUUAAUUCUUUACAAAAAAUAUUAUCUGUGUGAAUCAACUGAGAAUAUUUUCAACACAAUUAGAAUUAUAACAUCAAUAUCCAGUACAGACGAUUAAACUCUAGAUUUGCAAAACCUGAAAAUAUGAUCAAGAAAGAAAUACACCUAAGACUUUUCCAAUUUUAUUAAUACCAAC